RNAcentral lists this non-coding RNA (86 nucleotides) under unclassified sequences. RNAcentral describes it as "ivy-DE RNA". It matches the Rfam family "ivy-DE RNA". The record is from RNAcentral.
GAACCAGGGGGUCGGGUUGUUCUGCCACGCGGAGCGACCUAGGGGUACAUGGAGUGCCUCCUUUAUCGGACCGGGUUCUGCGAGGC